RNAcentral lists this transfer RNA (67 nucleotides) under Wiedomys cerradensis (cerrado red-nosed mouse). Its description in RNAcentral is "tRNA-Gly". Lineage: Eukaryota; Metazoa; Chordata; Mammalia; Rodentia; Cricetidae. The record is from RNAcentral.
AUUUUCUUAGUAUAAUAAGUACAACUGGCUUCCAACCAGUUAGAUCUGGAAUAUCCGGAAGAAAAUA